GUACUUGAAUUAAGUAAACUUGCAACGUGUGAAUUUCAGCGCCUGCUGCUUAUGCAAAAAAGUAUGCGGAAUCGGCCCUUAAUCUUAAUUUUAAUUUAACACGAUCGUGUUGCAAUUGCAAGUUGCAACAUUGUGUAUAACUGAAACUAAACCUAACCAAACCAACCGUUAAGUAACCUACCAGCAAGUUUUAUCAGUACGCAACAAACGUGAAUCCGAAUCCCCACUCCUCACGUUAGCUCACGUUCAGUUGUCUUUGAUAAGAAUUAUUGAAUGAACCGAUUUUGAUUUUUCACAUUUCAUUGAUUUCAUCCCAUAAUAAGGUACCUACGUAAUUAAAAUUUGUUAUUUUAUGAAAGCUGAAAACUGAUUGAUAUAAUUUCUUCAGAAAGAUGACUGAUUUGGUUGAAACGGUGGACCUGAACCAAGUGGAGAAAGCACUCUUCAAACACAUGAACGAAUUAAGGUUGGAAAAUUUGCUUUGCGAUGUACGUUUCAACGUCAAUGGUACAAUCAUACCUUGUCAUCGAUUAGUUCUAUCUGUGCAGUAUGCAAACAUGAACGAAUAGGUAGAGAGAAGGCCAACGAACCAAAACAAGGCAUACGUAAAACGAUGCCUUGCUAGGUUCGUGACUAGAGGCGAGAAAAUAAAAAUCAUAACAAUCAACCAACAUGUUAAUUGUUAAGCCUAAAGUAGCCAUAUAAAUAUAAGCUAUUUGCUAGCUUAAGAGAUCAUUUUGUAUACCAAGUUUAGUCGUGAUUAAACUAUCCAAACUGUA
Molecule: long non-coding RNA, 779 nt
Organism: Planococcus citri (citrus mealybug)
Lineage: Eukaryota; Metazoa; Arthropoda; Insecta; Hemiptera; Pseudococcidae
Exons: 2
Source: RefSeq, a predicted model, not a curated record